RNAcentral lists this ribosomal RNA (496 nucleotides) under uncultured bacterium. Its description in RNAcentral is "partial 16S ribosomal RNA". It matches the Rfam family "Bacterial small subunit ribosomal RNA", at positions 28 to 523 of the family's 1533-position model. The record is from RNAcentral.
GAUGAACGCUAGCGGCAGGCUUAACACAUGCAAGUCGAGGGGUAGAGUUAGCUUGCUAACUUGAGACCGGCGCACGGGUGCGUAACGCGUAUGCAAUCUACCUUGUACAGAGGGAUAGCCCAGAGAAAUUUGGAUUAAUACCUCAUAGUAUCUUCGGAAGGCAUCUUCUGAUUAUUAAAGUUCCAACGGUACAAGAUGAGCAUGCGUCCCAUUAGCUAGAUGGUAAGGUAACGGCUUACCAUGGCAACGAUGGGUAGGGGUCCUGAGAGGGAGAUCCCCCACACUGGUACUGAGACACGGACCAGACUCCUACGGGAGGCAGCAGUGAGGAAUAUUGGUCAAUGGGCGCAAGCCUGAACCAGCCAUGCCGCGUGCAGGAAGACGGUCCUAUGGAUUGUAAACUGCUUUUAUACGGGAAGAAACACUGCUACGUGUAGCAGCUUGACGGUACCGUAAGAAUAAGCAUCGGCUAACUCCGUGCCAGCAGCCGCGGUAA